RNAcentral lists this ribosomal RNA (263 nucleotides) under uncultured archaeon. Its description in RNAcentral is "partial 16S ribosomal RNA". It matches the Rfam family "Archaeal small subunit ribosomal RNA", at positions 719 to 982 of the family's 1478-position model. The record is from RNAcentral.
ACGACUACAUUAGAUACCCGCGUAGUUCUAGCCGUAAACGAUACUCGCUAGGUGUCGGCCACGGUGCGACCGUUGUCGGUGCCGUAGGGAAGCCGUGAAGCGAGCCACCUGGGAAGUACGGCCGCAAGGCUGAAACUUAAAGGAAUUGGCGGGGGAGCACCACAACGGGUGGAGCUUGCGGUUUAAUUGGAUUCAACGCCGGAAAUCUUACCGGGACCGACAGCAACAUGAAGGCCAGGCUGAAGACUUUGCCGGAUUAGCUG